RNAcentral lists this ribosomal RNA (236 nucleotides) under uncultured Lactobacillus sp. Its description in RNAcentral is "partial 16S ribosomal RNA". It matches the Rfam family "Bacterial small subunit ribosomal RNA", at positions 125 to 354 of the family's 1533-position model. The record is from RNAcentral. Lineage: Bacteria; Bacillati; Bacillota; Bacilli; Lactobacillales; Lactobacillaceae.
CCUGCCCAAGAGAUCGGGAUAACACCUGGAAACAGAUGCUAAUACCGGAUAACAACAGAUGAUGCCUAUCAACUGUUUAAAAGAUGGUUCUGCUAUCACUCUUGGAUGGACCUGCGGUGCAUUAGCUAGUUGGUAGGGUAACGGCCUACCAAGGCGAUGAUGCAUAGCCGAGUUGAGAGACUGAUCGGCCACAUUGGGACUGAGACACGGCCCAAACUCCUACGGAGGCAGCAGGC